CAACGCGAAGAACCUUACCAAAUCUUGACAUCCCUCUGACCGGCGAGUAAUGUCGCCUUUCCUUCGGGACAGAGGAGACAGGUGGUGCAUGGUUGUCGUCAGCUCGUGUCGUGAGAUGUUGGGUUAAGUCCCGCAACGAGCGCAACCCUUAUCCUAAGUAGCCAGCAGUUUGGCCGGGCACUCUUGGGAGACUGCCAGGGAUAACCUGGAGGAAGGUGGGGAUGACGUCAAAUCAUCAUGCCCCUUAUGAUUUGGGCUACACACGUGCUACAAUGGCGUAAACAAAGAGAGGCGAGACCGCGAGGUGGAGCAAAUCUCAAAAAUAACGUCUCAGUUCGGACUGCAGGCUGCAACUCGCCUGCACGAAGCUGGAAUCGCUAGUAAUCGCGAAUCAGAAUGUCGCGGUGAAUACGUUCCCGGGUCUUGUACACACCGCCCGUCACACCAUGGGAGUCAGUAAUGCCCGAAGUCAGUGACCCAACCGCAAGGAGGGAGCUGCCGAAGGCAGGACCGAUAACUGGGGUGAAGUCGUAACAAGGUAGCCGUAUCGGAAGGUGCGGCUGGAUCACCUCCUUUCUAAGGAA
This 584-nucleotide ribosomal RNA is filed under the name Clostridium fessum. RNAcentral describes it as "bacterial SSU rRNA". It matches the Rfam family "Bacterial small subunit ribosomal RNA", at positions 957 to 1533 of the family's 1533-position model. The record is from RNAcentral. Lineage: Bacteria; Bacillati; Bacillota; Clostridia; Eubacteriales; Clostridiaceae.